RNAcentral lists this ribosomal RNA (450 nucleotides) under uncultured bacterium. RNAcentral describes it as "partial 16S ribosomal RNA". It matches the Rfam family "Bacterial small subunit ribosomal RNA", at positions 354 to 796 of the family's 1533-position model. The record is from RNAcentral.
GUGGGGAAUAUUGGACAAUGGGCGAAAGCCUGAUCCAGCCAUGCCGCGUGUGUGAAGAAGGUCUUCGGAUUGUAAAGCACUUUAAGUUGGGAGGAAGGGCAGUAAGUUAAUACCUUGCUGUUUUGACGUUACCGACAGAAUAAGCACCGGCUAACUUCGUGCCAGCAGCCGCGGUAAUACGAAGGGUGCAAGCGUUAAUCGGAAUUACUGGGCGUAAAGCGCGCGUAGGUGGUUUUGUAAGUUGGAGGUGAAAUCCCCGGGCUCAACCUGGGAACUGACUCCAAAACUGCAUGACUAGAGUACGGUAGAAGGUAGUGGAAUUUCCUGUGUAGCGGUGAAAUGCGUAGAUAUAGGAAGGAACACCAGUGGCGAAGGCGACUACCUGGACUGAUACUGACACUGAGGUGCGAAAGCGUGGGGAGCAAACAGGAUUAGAAACCCCUGUAGUCC